Molecule: ribosomal RNA, 188 nt
Filed under: uncultured Hyphomicrobiales bacterium
Lineage: Bacteria; Pseudomonadati; Pseudomonadota; Alphaproteobacteria; Hyphomicrobiales
Description: uncultured Rhizobiales bacterium partial 16S ribosomal RNA
Rfam family: Bacterial small subunit ribosomal RNA
Source: RNAcentral
CCUUCGGUUCGGGAUAACCCUGGGAAACUAGGGCUAAUACCGGAUACGUCCGAGAGGAGAAAGGUUUACUGCCGAAGGAUCGGCCCGCGUCCGAUUAGCUAGUUGGAGAGGUAACGGCUCACCAAGGCGACGACCGGUAGCUGGUCUGAGAGGAUGAUCAGCCACACUGGGACUGAGACACGGCCCAG